CUUUUUUCGUCCCCUCCAGGCCUCCACAGAAGCCAUUUUCACCCUUCCUAUCUCAAAGAUAUAUACUAGCCUACGCGUACACAUCGUCUAAGAAACGAAGUCGAUCGCGUCGUCUCUUGUGCGUGCUCAAACGUGGCCGUGGACGGCACAGAUGUACGCCGGCGUCAGCAGGCCGGGGGCACCGGUGCACCUCGCUCUGCUGGCUUGUUCUUCCGAUCCCUGCUGGCUACUUUCUUAUAGAGCACAGUAGAUAGGGAAACCUGUCAGGAGCUUCGGCAUACGGCGACGCAGUACCGGUAGGGGCAGGUGUAUUGCAGCCAUGGAAGCAGGUGCUGCGGGUCUCGCUGCACUGAUGGUGCUGGUCAGCUGGGCGGCGGGUCUCGCCGCCGCCGCCGCCUCGGCGUCGCUGGCCACGUCGCCGGUGCCGUUCCAGGCCGGCUACAUGCCGCUGUUCGGCGGCGACAACCUCGUCCGGUCGCCCGGCGGCCGCUCCGUCCGCCUCAAACUCGAUCGCCGCACCGGCUCCGGGUGCGUAUCCAAGUCGGCGUACCACCAUGGAUACUUCAGCGCUUCCAUCAAGCUGCCCGACGACCACACCGCCGGCGUCGUCGUCGCCUUCUACCUGUCGAACGCCGACGUGUUCCCCCGCAACCACGACGAGGUGGACUUCGAGCUGCUGGGCAACCGGCGGGGCCACGAGUGGCGCGUCCAGACCAACGUCUACGGCAACGGCAGCACCUCCCGCGGCCGCGAGGAGCGCUACCUCCUCCCCUUCGACCCCACCCUCCGCCCGCACGCCUACGCCGUCGCCUGGACCCCCACCGCCGUCGUCUUCUACGUGGACGGGGCGCCCAUCCGCGAGGUGGUCCGCGCGCCCGUCAUGGGCGGCGACUUCCCCUCCAAGCCCAUGUCCGUCUACGCCACCAUCUGGGACGGCUCCGCCUGGGCCACCGAGGGCGGACGCUACAAGGUCGACUACGCCCACGCGCCCUUCGCCGCCGACUUCUCGCGGCUCGUCCUCGCCGGCUGCCCCGCCGGCGCCGGCGCGAGCUGCGCGGUGGCGGCGAUGACGGCGGAGUUCGCGGUCAUGACCCCCUCCAAGCGCGCCGCCAUGCGGCGGUUCCGGCGGCAGCACCUCCUCUACACCGUGUGCCACGACCGGUACCGGUACAACGGCACCGUCUUCCCCGAGUGCGACGACGCCGAACGCGACGACUUCCACAAGUGGGGCGAGUCCAAGCGCGUGUCGCCGGGCCGCCGCGGGUACAGGCAGCACCGGCAGCCGCGCGCGGACAAGGCCGCCGCCGGUCGCCCCAGCACGUGGCCGACGAUGGGAGCCCUACGUGCAGACUAGCUAGUACUAGUAUGGCGGUCGAUGUGUGUGGACGUGUGGUGCGUGCCAUUGCCAUUAGGAGAUUGCUGAUGAAUUAGUUAUAUUAGUGGACGUCGAGGAUAUAUCGGGUGCAUAGCACUGUAUGUGUACAGGUGUUUCUUACUCUGCAUUUUUCAAGAUGCAGAAAGAUACAGUCAUGCGGGCUUGCAAUAGAUAGAUUGCGUGGUUCCAUUUCCAUGCUCAUUUUUCAGUCGAAUAUAUCUCUAUCAGGGCCGUCCCACAAAAUUUGUGGGCCCUGUGCGAAA
This is an RNA transcript of Panicum virgatum (switchgrass), 1638 nucleotides long. It is a transcript of the gene named probable xyloglucan endotransglucosylase/hydrolase protein 27, with no coding region annotated. The transcript has 4 exons. The record is from RefSeq and is a predicted model, not a curated record. NCBI's taxonomy places the organism in Eukaryota, Viridiplantae, Streptophyta, Magnoliopsida, Poales, Poaceae.